GUCCUGUGAAAUGAGGAGCCUGCAUUUUUUCCAGCUCAAAAGUACCUUUUUAUAAAUGUCACAAAGUUUGUUAUCAGGCAGAGUGCAGCUAUAAAAUUUUUGCAGUCAUUAAAUAUUGUUGUGACUGUCUUUCAUCCUGAGCUUUUCUUCACUGGAUUUAAUAUUUUUCAGUAUCUUUUGACUAGUGCAGCGUACUUUGAUUUUGACAGGUGCUUGCACUUCUAAACAGAUAAGCCUGGGUGUUUUGCUAAACCCAGUGAAACAUUUACAUACUUGUAAAAGGGAUAGCCUGCAUUUUCAUCCAGCUUUGAAACUCCUUAAUCACUAAAAGCCCUGGGGAGACGGCAACUAUGAACCUUAAGCAACCAUUACAUCUUUUGACUCUUAUUCAGCCCUGAUAUUUCUUCAUUGGAUUUAAUGUUUUGUACUACAUGUGACUGGUGCCUCUCACUGGAGCUUUACAUGUCCUUGCAUUUAUAAACAGAAAGCAAGCUCCGCCCACUCCAUUGAGAGGUUCAAGUCCACACUUCUCAAACGCAUGUAUAUCACCUUGAAGAUGAGAGAAAUGUCCCAAAAAUAAAGCAAUCGAAGCUACUGCACAUUUAGGCAUUACACCAACAGUAAUUUCCCAUGGAAAACAGUGUGUCAUCGUGUUCCUUUGCAUCUUGUGCUUUGGGCAACAGACACUUGUGGAACUUCACAUCAGCCACAUUUGGAUAAACCCACUCAGCAAGCCGUGGUUGUUCCCAAGAUAAAAAGUAAUUGAUAGCUCUACUUUUGACAAGAUGGUGUCCUGCCUUCAGAAUAACCUACCAGUAAGCCUAUUGUGGAUCCACCACAAGAUGAAAUUUAAAACAGAAUUCACUCAAAACACUUUUUUAGUAACUAGAUGUACAAGUGUAACUAAGGCAUCACAGACUCUCAAGUAAGUACCCUCCCAAUACACACAUGCAAAAUAAACCUUUGUCUUCACUGGGAAUAAUGACCUAGGGCAGUGAUGACUGCUCUUAAACCAUUCUGGACAUAUUAGAUGUUUCUACUACCCUUACUAGAUAAUAUACUAUUAUGACCUAUGCUCUUGUUGUAUUUGUACAUAUUCACUAUUCUUUUUUCUUUUAAUUGGAUGAAAUUCUGAUAUCUGGACAUAUUCUGUUAAGUAUGAACUCUCUCUCAUUGUAUCUUUUGAGACCAUUUACAGGUUGCUAGUAAAGCACAUCCAGUUUGAGAAUAAUGCUAAGCUUUCUGAUUGGUGCAAUGCAGGUUGAGUGUUCUUGUCUGAUUCUAAAAAGUAAUAUAUGCUAUAACUAUUUCAAAUGUAUACAUUGGUCAUUUUAAAUGAGGCAUUGUACUAACCCUAAAUUAAACAUUUUCUUAUUGUAAUUAUAACAGCAUUGUGUCCUGGUAAAAUUGUGCGCUAAAACUUUCUUCUGUU
Molecule: long non-coding RNA, 1432 nt
Organism: Protopterus annectens (West African lungfish)
Lineage: Eukaryota; Metazoa; Chordata; Ceratodontiformes; Protopteridae
Exons: 2
Source: RefSeq, a predicted model, not a curated record